RNAcentral lists this ribosomal RNA (494 nucleotides) under Diaporthe sp. Lc006. Its description in RNAcentral is "eukaryotic LSU rRNA". The stretch from base 176 to 329 matches the Rfam family "5.8S ribosomal RNA". The record is from RNAcentral. Lineage: Eukaryota; Fungi; Ascomycota; Sordariomycetes; Diaporthales; Diaporthaceae.
CUGGAACGCGCCCCAGGCGCACCCAGAAACCCUUUGUGAACUUAUACCUUACUGUUGCCUCGGCGCAUGCUGGCCCCCUGGGGGUCCCUCACUCCGGUGAGGAGCAGGCACGCCGGCGGCCAAGUUAACUCUUGUUUUUACACUGAAACUCUGAGAAAAAACACAAAUGAAUCAAAACUUUCAACAACGGAUCUCUUGGUUCUGGCAUCGAUGAAGAACGCAGCGAAAUGCGAUAAGUAAUGUGAAUUGCAGAAUUCAGUGAAUCAUCGAAUCUUUGAACGCACAUUGCGCCCUCUGGUAUUCCGGAGGGCAUGCCUGUUCGAGCGUCAUUUCAACCCUCAAGCAUUGCUUGGUGUUGGGGCACUGCUUUUUACCCAAAAAGCAGGCCCUGAAAUCUAGUGGCGAGCUCGCCAGGACCCCGAGCGCAGUAGUUAAACCCUCGCUUUGGAAGGCCCUGGCGGUGCCCUGCCGUUAAACCCCCAACUUUUGAAAAU